UACGUAGGCAGCAAGCGUUGUUCGGAGUUACUGGGCGUAAAGGGUGUGUAGGCGGUUGUUUAAGUUUGGUGUGAAAUCUCCCGGCUCAACUGGGAGGGUGCGCCGAAUACUGAAUGACUAGAGUACGGAAGAGGUGAGUGGAAUUCCUGGUGUAGCGGUGAAAUGCGCAGAUAUCAGGAGGAACACCGAUGGCGAAGGCAGCUCACUGGGACGUUACUGACGCUGAGACGCGAAAGCGUGGGGAGCAAACAGG
RNAcentral lists this ribosomal RNA (253 nucleotides) under uncultured bacterium. RNAcentral's name for it is "partial 16S ribosomal RNA". It matches the Rfam family "Bacterial small subunit ribosomal RNA", at positions 524 to 776 of the family's 1533-position model. The record is from RNAcentral.